Cololabis saira (Pacific saury) is the source of this 2072-nucleotide long non-coding RNA. RefSeq lists it as uncharacterized. Lineage: Eukaryota; Metazoa; Chordata; Actinopteri; Beloniformes; Belonidae. The record is from RefSeq and is a predicted model, not a curated record. The transcript is spliced from 3 exons.
GCUCUAGCCAGCGCUCUAGUUCAGCCACUUUCAUCCUGCAGGUCGACACAAAGCCACCUGUAGCAGUCUCUGCUCCUACAACUAGCAGUACAAUAAACAACCAAAACACACCACCUAACAUGACAACAUCUUCCCCCUGCAGCCGCUGCCUCCUCCAGCAGCUUCACAGAUACCAGUCUGAUGGGACCUGACGGCAUCCGUGGGAAACUAUCCCAACCCACAGAGACCCCACCCAACAACCCUUAUGGCUCAACGCUACCAGAUACUCCAGCACACCCUGACUGGCCAGAGUCUUUUUAGGAGCACAGGGAAGACCUGCUUAGUAGCUAUUUAGUCAGUGAUAAUGUUCAGGCUGAUUAACACAUGGAGAUGAUGCCAUUCAGGACUGAAAAAAGUGUAGUGAUCCACUGCAUUUAUGUAUAAAUGAAAAAAGGCACUCACCCUGUUUUUAUUUAAAAUAUUUGAGAUUCUUCUCUUAAAUUUUGAAGAUGACAGGAGAUCUGUUUUUCAAGUGGUUUGCUUUAACAGACCAGGCUUCCAUGCUGAAGUUUACUCCUCAAAUAUUAGUAAUAAUUAUUCUGUGUAAGUCAUAUAAAACAUUCAAGAACUACAAGCAAAUUAGAUCUGUUUGUUGACAAAUGUAAAGACUAACACAAAAAGAAAAAGUCACAAAUAAAAAGAAAAUAAAUUAAGGGACUCACAGUUACAUGAAUCUGUGCUGAUUAGUAGUGUUUUUAGGGUUUUUAGGUAAGGUUUAGAUGGAACUCCAAAUAACCUUUAAUACACAAAGACUGGUGCUAAAGAUAAUUGAUAUCAGAUUUUAGAGUUGAUGUUAAGGGAGUUCAUUACUUUUUUUUUUCAUUUUUUAUUUUUUCUCUUGGGCUUGCUCUGUCAAUGUGCAGAGUUGCCAGCAGGACCAGAAUAAUACCAGAGGCAUGCUCUACCAUCAGAGGCUUAAAAUAGUUUGUUGGAAACAGAUCAUCAGUGCUGACCUGCAGCAAAAACCACGCAGGUCAGAUUUCUACUGAGUGUUGGGCUGAGUGCAAGACAUGAAGGCCUGGUCAGUAUUUUGGAACUACAUUACAGAGAAGCUGAGGAAAAAGAGUCCUUUAAAUACAGUAGAUGUAUUGUUUAUAAUUUGAAUGAAAGACAAACUUGCUCAUCAGAUUCCUUGACAUGAACUGCCUUAUAUUAAAUGUUAUGCUGUGCCACUAGGUGGCAUUGUUACGCUUCGUUGAGUUGCACCACAUGCCAAGGACAAGCCUUGCUUUAAGUAGGAAAUAAGUUUAACAUGUGAAAAAAAUAAAUUAUCUAAAAAAAACACAGGGGUCAGGGUCACAAUAGACUGACCCUGAAUUACAAAUUGGUUUUAAGACUCAGAUCUUUUUGUGUUGAUGCACUUGGUGUGAUCUUGACUUAUUGAUUGUGUUUUGAAAUUUUCUCACAUGAUGAUUUGUAUCGUAGAAUUUGUGUGGCCCUACUCAUUAAAAAAAAAGCCAAAGGCAUAACCAUCUCUGGUUUAGGAAGCGUUCAAAAGGCAGAGACAAAAUGAGCUUGCAGCAUCAGGAAAGUCCUUUUUCUUACUGUUCGUACUUAGUUAUCUCAGAGACGAAACCAACACACUUGUUUUAUUUAUUCAUUUAUUUUUUUUGUCAUGUAAACUAUUUCUGAUGUGGAUAACAUAUUGGUGGCAAAAAUAAAUGAUGAUUUAAAAGCAGAGAUGUAUCAAGCACGCAGCUGCAACCACACUUGGUUAGAAAAAGACAAAAAUCUAUGAUUAAUAGAAGCCUAUUAUGCAUGUUAUUGAGCAUUUAUAUCUACCUUUAGCUUUGAUUACAGUCUCUGUGGUGUUUUUUUGAUAAAAAUGUGUAACAUGCACUCAAUAUCACACUGGUGUUUCUGAGUAAAAACUCUUAAGGGCAUAUCUUAACAUCCUUAAUAGUAUUGUUGCUUGAAUCAUACUUACUUCAUCUGUGGUUUGUCAUAUUUUCUCUUGGUUCUGGAUCCUAAUUGUUUAAAAUUUUGAAUGCAUUCAGAAUUUCAGUAAUGCUUGUAGCAGUACAUUAAAAAUA